This 72-nucleotide transfer RNA is filed under the name Acropora cervicornis. RNAcentral describes it as "tRNA-Ala". It matches the Rfam family "tRNA". Rfam says of the family: Transfer RNA (tRNA) molecules are approximately 80 nucleotides in length. Their secondary structure includes four short double-helical elements and three loops (D, anti-codon, and T loops). The record is from RNAcentral. Lineage: Eukaryota; Metazoa; Cnidaria; Anthozoa; Scleractinia; Acroporidae.
GGCCUGAUAGCUCAACUGGUGGAGCACUGCACUGGCAUUGCAGAGGUCAGGGUUCAAGUCUCAUUCAGGCCU